UGGUCAAGUUAUUAAGGGUGCAGGGCGGAUGCCUUGGCACUAGGAGCCGAUGAAGGACGUGAUAAGCUGCGAUAAGCUUCGGGGAGUUGCACGUAAACUUUGAUCCGAAGAUUUCCGAAUGAGGAAACUCACUUAGCGUAAUGUCUAAGUCUCAUUAAGUGAAUACAUAGCUUAAUGAGGGGAACUCAGGGAACUGAAACAUCUAAGUACCUGAAGGAAGAGAAAGAAAUUCGAUUCCGUAAGUAGCGGCGAGCGAACGCGGAUUAGCCCAAACCAAUAAAGUUUUCUUUAUUGGGGUUGCGGACAUAUCAUAACGAAGAGGUAUCGUAAUUGAAGAGGUUUGGAAAGACCCACCACAGAAGGUAAUAGUCCUGUAUGUUAAACGAGAAGACUUUAGAUAUGAUCCAGAGUACCACGGGACACGUGAAACCCUGUGGGAAGCAGGAGGGACCACCCUCCAAGGCUAAAUACUACCUAGUGACCGAUAGCGUAUAGUACCGUGAGGGAAAGGUGAAAAGAACCCCGGGAGGGGAGUGAAAUAGAACCUGAAACCCUGCACUUACAAGCUGUGGAAGCACAUUUCUUGUGUGACCGCGUACUUUUUGUAGAACGGGCCAACGAGUUACGUUAAGUAGCAAGGUUAAGCACUUAAGGUGCGGAGCCGUAGCGAAAGCGAGUUUUAACUGAGCGUUCAGUUACUUGACGUAGACCCGAAACCGGGCGACCUACCCAUGAGCAGGAUGAAGCGAAAGUAAAAUUUCGGGGAGGUCCGAACCCACGAGCGUUGAAAAGCUCGGGGAUGACUUGUGGGUAGCGGUGAAAUUCCAAUCGAGCCCGGAGAUAGCUGGUUCUCCCCGAAAUAGCUUUAGGGCUAGCCUCAAGGUGAGAGAUACGGAGGUAGAGCACUGAAUGUCCUAGGGGGUAUUGCACCUACCGAAGACUAUCAAACUCCGAAUGCCGUCAUCUUAUACUUGGGAGUCAGACUGUGGGUGAUAAGAUUCAUAGUCGAAAGGGCAACAGCCCAGAUCGUCAGCUAAGGUCCCUAAAUGUAAGUUAAGUGGUAAAGGAUGUGGGAUUGCACAGACAACCAGGAUGUUGGCUUAGAAGCAGCCACUCAUUCAAAGAGUGCGUAAUAGCUCACUGGUCGAGUGAUCCUGCGCCGAAGAUUUCCGGGGCUAAAACUUACUACCGAAGCUACGGCAUCAGUAAUGAUGGGUAGGGGAGCUUCCCAUACGGGUUGAAGCAUGACCGUAAGGACAUGUGGACAGUAUGGGAGUGAGAAUGUUGGCAUGAGUAGCGAGAUGUGGGUGAGAAUCCCACAGGCCGUAAACCCAAGG
This 1337-nucleotide ribosomal RNA is filed under the name Clostridioides difficile. RNAcentral's name for it is "bacterial LSU rRNA". It matches the Rfam family "Bacterial large subunit ribosomal RNA", at positions 1 to 1350 of the family's 2925-position model. The record is from RNAcentral. Lineage: Bacteria; Bacillati; Bacillota; Clostridia; Peptostreptococcales; Peptostreptococcaceae.